GGUUUGAUUAUGGCUCAGAUUGAACGCUGGCGGGAUGCUUUACACAUGCAAGUCGAACGGCGGCACGGACUUCGGCACGGUCUGGUGGCGAGUGGCGAACGGGUGGUAACAUCGGAACGUGCCUAUUAGCGGGGGAUAACCACGCGGCGUGUAAUACCGCAUACGCCUUCCGGGGAAAGCGGGGACCUUCGGGCCUCGCACUAUUAAAUACGGCCGAUAUCGGAUUAGCUAGUUGGUGGGGUAACGGCUCACCAAGGCGACGAUCCGUAGCUGGUUUGAAGGGGACGACCAGCCACACUGGGACUGAGACACGGCCCAGACUCCUACGGGAGGCAGCAGUGGGGAAUUUUUGGACAAUGGAAACCUGAUCCAGCCAUCCCGCGUGUGCGAUGAAGGCCUUCGGGUUAUAAAACACUUUUGGCAGGAAAGAAACGGCACGGGAUACCCGUGCAGCUGACGGUACCUGCAGAAUGCUUACCGGCUAACUACGUGCCAGCAGCCGCGGUAAUACGUAGGGUGCAAGCGUUAAUCGGAAUUACUGGGCGUAAAGCGUGCGCAGGCGGUUCGGAAGAAAGAUGUGAAAUCCCAGAGCUUAACUUUGGAACUGCAUUUUUAACUACCGAGCUAGAGUGUGUCGAGAGGGAGGUGGAAUUCCGCGAUGGCGAUGAAAUGCGUAGAUAUGCGGAGGAGCCACCGGCGUCAGCGAAGGCAGCAUUUCUGGGUUAUUUUAACAUGCUCAUGCACGAAAGCAUGGGGCGACAGGAUUAGAUACCCUGGUAGUCCACGCCCUAAACGAUGUCAACUAGCUGUUGGGGCCUUCGGGCCUUGGUAGCGCAGCUAACGCGUGAAGUUGACCGCCUGGGAGUACGGUCGCAAGAUUAAAACUCAAGAUUGACGGGGACCCGCACAAGCGGUGGAUGAUGUGGAUUAAUUCGAUGCAACGCGAAAAACCUUACCUACCCUUGACAUGUCUGGAAUCCCGAAGAGAUUUGGGAGUGCUCGCAAGAACCGGGCACGGUGCUGCAUGGCUGUCGUCAGCUCGUGUCGUGAGAUGUUGGGUUAAGUCCCGCAACAGGCGCAACCCUUGUCAUUAGUUGCUACGAAAGGGCACUCCUGAGACUGCGGUGACAAACCGGAGGAAGGUGGGGAUGACGUCAAGUCCUCAUGGCCCUUAUGGGUAGGGCUUCACACGUCAUACAAUGGUCGGGACAGAGGGUGUAACCCGCGAGGGGAGCCAAUCCCAGAAACCCGAUCGUAGUCCCGGAUCACCCAGUCUGCAACUCGACUGCGUGAAGUCGGAAUCGCUAGUAAUCGCGGAUCAGCAUGUCGCGGUGAAUACGUUCCGGGUCUUGUACACACCGCCCGCCACACCAUGGGAGUGGGUUUUACCAGAAGUAGUUAGCCUAACCGUAAGGAGGGCGAUUACCACGGUAGGAUUCAUGACUGGGGUGAAGUCGUAACAAAGUGG
Molecule: ribosomal RNA, 1468 nt
Filed under: uncultured Bordetella sp.
Lineage: Bacteria; Pseudomonadati; Pseudomonadota; Betaproteobacteria; Burkholderiales; Alcaligenaceae
Description: partial 16S-23S ribosomal RNA intergenic spacer
Rfam family: Bacterial small subunit ribosomal RNA
Source: RNAcentral